CAGUCGCCGCGGUAAUACGGAGGGAGCUAGCGUUGUUCGGAAUUACUGGGCGUAAAGCGUGCGUAGGCGGUUCGUUAAGUCUGUUGUGAAAGCCCCGGGCUCAACCUGGGAAUGGCAAUGGAUACUGGCGAGCUAGAGUGUGUCAGAGGACGGUGGAAUUCCCGGUGUAGCGGUGAAAUGCGUAGAGAUCGGGAGGAACAUCAGUGGCGAUGGCGGCCAUCUGGGACAACACUGACGCUGAGGCACGAAAGCGUGGGGAGCAAACAGGAUUAGAUACCCGCGUAGUCCCUGUCUCUUAUAC
Molecule: ribosomal RNA, 301 nt
Filed under: uncultured bacterium
Lineage: Bacteria
Description: partial 16S ribosomal RNA
Rfam family: Bacterial small subunit ribosomal RNA
Source: RNAcentral